GAUUCUGGCUCAGGAUGAACGCUAGCGACAGGCUUAACACAUGCAAGUCGAGGGGCAGCACGGGAGUAGCAAUACUUUGGUGGCGACCGGCGCACGGGUGAGUAACGCGUAUGCAACCUACCUAUCAGAGGGGAAUAACCCGGCGAAAGUCGGACUAAUACCGCAUAAAACAGGGGCACCGCAUGGUGAUAUUUGUUAAAGAAAUUCGCUGAUAGAUGGGCAUGCGUUCCAUUAGGUAGUUGGUGAGGUAACGGCUCACCAAGCCGACGAUGGAUAGGGGAACUGAGAGGUUGGUCCCCCACACUGGUACUGAGACACGGACCAGACUCCUACGGGAGGCAGCAGUGAGGAAUAUUGGUCAAUGGGCGGGAGCCUGAACCAGCCAAGUCGCGUGAAGGAAAGAAGGAUCUAUGGUUCGUAAACUUCUUUUGCAGGGGAAUAAAGUGCAGGACGUGUCCUGUUUUGUAUGUACCCUGAGAAUAAGGAUCGGCUAACUCCGUGCCAGCAGCUGC
This 512-nucleotide ribosomal RNA is filed under the name uncultured bacterium. RNAcentral describes it as "bacterial SSU rRNA". It matches the Rfam family "Bacterial small subunit ribosomal RNA", at positions 15 to 518 of the family's 1533-position model. The record is from RNAcentral.